AGUUUACUAAAAAUCAUAAAGUCUUUUUGCUUUUGGUUGCAGAUUAUUGGCUUCUAAUUUUGACUCCUUUCAUCUAUAUCGCCAGAGAACUGUGUUGAAAUACCUACAGAAAAGUGAGUCUUGAAUUGUUCGGUACUUCGGUCUUCCAAACAAAUAAAAAAUAAUAGAAACUGGUUCCUCUUGGUUUCCCGGUCACAACACCAAUUACCAUAAUAGAAGGGAAAAGGUGUCUCUUAAAGUAUUUGAUUUUUGAAGCAUAUAUCGAUUACUGUCCGUAUUCGCCCAAUCUAACUCCAACGUAAAGUUUCAACUCUUGAAUCAAUGGAAAUUCUAAGCUCUGUUGCUGGAAAAGUAGCAGAGUAUACUGUGGCACCCAUUGGAAGGCAAUUCAGCUAUCUAAUAUUCUAUAAAGCCAAUUUUAAGGAGCUAGGUAAACGUGUUACAGAUCUUGAGGGCAAAAGAGACGAAAUCAAGCAACGUGUUGAAGAAGAAAGAAGGAAUGGGAAAACAACUUUUGAUGUUGUGCAGAAUUGGUUGAACAAUGUAGAUGAUGCCAUUGGAGAAGCAAAUCAGCUUCAAAAUGAUCCUCGUCAUGCGAAGGUUGGGUGUUCCAGAUGUUCAUUUCCUAAUGUGGUGACACGUCAUCAACUCAGUAGAAAAGCUACGAAAAUUGUCAAAAAUGUUGUUGAUAUAAAGGGAGAAGGGAACUUUUCCGCAGUAGCUUAUCUUCCUGCUCUUGAUGUAGUCUCAACAUCUACCACAAGGAGUAACAAAAACUUGGAGUCAAGGAAAUCUAUUACGGAGAAUAUCAUGCAUGCUCUACGAGACCCCAAAGUAAGCAUGGUGGGAGUGUAUGGGCUUGGUGGUGUGGGUAAGACCACUCUUAUGAAUGAAGUUGCUCAAAUAGCUAAGCAUGAGAGGUUGUUUGAUGAGGUGGUCAUAGCCACUGUGUCAAAAACUCCAGACAUCAAAACAAUUCAACGGGAGAUUGCUGAUCAGUUGGGUCUUCAAUUCAGGGACGAGAGUGUUGCUUGUAGAGGGAAGCGCUUACAUGACAGAAUUAAAACAGAGAGAUCAAUCUUGAUAAUAUUGGAUGAUAUAUGGGCAAGACUUGAUUUGGAGAUGCUCGGAAUUCCUUCUGGCAGUGAACAUGGUAGUUGCAAAUUGUUAAUGACUUCUCGAAAUAAUGAUGUGCUGCAAGUAAUGGAUGUUCAAAAGGAUUUCAAGCUUGAUGUUUUAAGUGAGGAAGAAAAUUGGAUCAUGUUUGAAUCUCUGGCUGGCGAUACUGUACAUGAUAUCAAUAUAAAAGGAACAGCAAUUGAAAUUGCAAAAAGAUGUGCAGGUUUGCCUCUUCGGCUGGUAACGGUUGCGAGGGCAUUGAAAAAUAAAAAACUUUAUGCCUGGAAAGAUGCAUUAACCCGGUUAGUGUUGGAUGGUGCCAAUAGUGGAGACAUGGAUGCGGUCACUUAUUCAGCACUGGAAUUGAGUUACAAUUGGUUGGAAUCUGAGGAGAUGAAGGAUGUACUCUUGCUUUGUUCCGUAAUGGGAUCCUUUUUUAUUCCAGAGUACAUAGUGACAUGCGCCAUGGGUUUAGACCUAUUUAAAGGAAUAAACACACUAGCCGCUGCAAGAAAUAGGUUAUUCAGAAUACUUGACACCUUGAAGGCCUCUUGUCUGAUGUAUGAAGGUCGUAUGUCUUCUUGUCUGUUGUAUGUGCAUGACAUUGUUCGUGAAGUAGCUGUAUCCAUAGCAAAACGGGAUCGCCAUGUUUUUACAACAAAGCAUGGAGAUGCCUUGAAGGAAUGGCCGACAGAGGGAUUUCUAAGAAGCUGCUCCCAGAUUGUCCUGGAUAAUUGCAUCAUCAAUAAGCUUCCUGAAAAGUUAGAUUGUCCUAAUCUUUUGCUUUUUGUAUUGAAUAGUGCUGAUCGUUCUCUGGAAAUCCCUGAUUCUUUCUUUGAGGGAAUGAAAAGCCUCAAAGUGUUAGAAUUGAGAUGCAUAAACUUGCCUUUGUUACCAACAUCUAUUUGUGGGCUAACUAGCCUUCAAACAUUGCACUUGUUUAUAUGUGUUCUACAAAGUAUGGAUGGAAUAGGAGCUUUGAAAAAUCUAGAAAUUCUUAACCUCUGGUGUUCUUCCAUGAUAAACUUUCCUAGUGAAAUUGGUCAGUUGACUAAGCUAAAAAUGUUACUUAUGUGCUACUCUGGAGUUGAAGUCAUCCCGCAAAACAUCAUAUCAAGAUUGAUCAGUUUGGAGGAGUUUUACAUGAGAGGUAUUUCAAUUGAUUGGAAUGGUGAAAAUUUAGUCAGCAAAACAAAAAAUGCCAGCCUUGAUGAAUUCCGACAGUUGUUGAACUUGACAGCUCUAGGAUUAGAAGUUCGUGAGGCUUGCAUGUUGCCAAGUGAUCUGAUGUUUGAUAAAUUAGAAAGGUACAAUAUAGCUAUUGGAGAUGUCUGGGAAGGGUUUGAUAUUGAUGAUGAAACACUGAAGACGUUGAAGCUCAAGCUUGAGACCAAUAUUCACUUGGAGCCCGGGAUCAAAGGAUUGAUUAAAAGAGCAGAGAAUUUGUAUUUGGAUGAAGUUGGAGGCAUUUCGAAUGUACUCUAUCAAUUGAAUGGAGACGGAUUUCCUCAACUGAAGCACCUCCACAUCCAAAAUAAUGCCUUAAUUCAGCACAUCAUUGAUUUUAAAGAGAGGACUCAUGUUCCAUCCCCCUCAUUUCCAAACCUGGAAAAACUGGUCAUUCAGAAUCUCGAUCAGAUGGAGAAAAUUUAUGAUGGGCCACUUGCGAACAAUUCUUUUGCCAAGCUCCAGGCCAUCAAAGUUGAAAACUGUAAUAAAGUGAAAUAUCUUCUCUCUGUUUCCAUAGUUAAAAGCAUGUCUCAGCUUUCAGAGCUCGAAGUUUCUCGAUGCAAACUUAUGGAAAGGAUCGUGUUUGAAGAUGGUGAUGCAAGUGCAAUGAAUGACGAAACUGUUGAAACCAUUCAGUUUCCAUUGCUCCAUUCUCUAACUUUACAACAUUUGGAUGAGCUUAAAAGUUUCUUUUCUCAUCAGCCAACAUCUUCUGCUAUACCCCUUUUUAACAAUCAAGUUGCAUUUCCUAAUUUGGACACUUUGAAGUUGAGCUCACUCAAUUUGAGCAAAAUUUGGAAGGAUAAUCGACACUCUUUUUACAAAUUGAGAAAUUUGAUUGUUGAAAAUUGUGAUGGUCCAAAGUAUUUGUUCUCAUCUACUAUGGUGGAGAGUUUUUCCAACCUCAUAAAGCUUGAAAUAAGUGAAUGCCAUCUAAUGGAGGAGAUAAUAGAUCCGGUAGACAGGGACAACAAUAUUAUCACGCUAGAAGAGGUUCGAUUCUCCAAAUUGCAAACAAUUAUCUUAAAGGACAUGAAGAGUUUGAAGAAGAUAUGGUACAAAGAAUUUUCUAAAGUGAAGACAUUACAAGUCAACAAUUGUGAGAAAAUUAGAGUAAUUUUUCCUUCUUCGAUGCAGAAAGCAUAUAAUGAUCUAGAGGCAUUAAUGGUAAUCGAUUGUGUUUCAGUAGAAGAGAUAUUUCAACUGAGUUCUGAUGAAAAUUGUAAUACAGAACGAACACAACUUAAAAAAAUUACUCUAAAAAAAUUGCCAAAGCUAAAACAAAUAUGGAGCAAGGAUCUUGAAGGAGCUCUUUGCUUUUGCAAUCUAGAGGAAAUAUAUGUAGAGAACUGCGAAAACUUGGAAUUUGUAUUUCCAUGUUCAGUAGCCACAAGUUGCUCGCAUCUUAAAGAACUUUCAAUUAAAUGGUGUGGAAACAUGAAGCAAAUUGUUGCAUUGAAGGAUGAACCGACGGUCUCAACUACUUCCUUUGAGUUUAACCAUUUAAACACUUUGUUGCUUUGGAGGUUAUAUAAUCUCAAAGGGUUCUAUGCAGGAAAUCACACAUUAACAUGUCCAUCUUUGAGAAAAUUAGAUGUUACACUAUGUGUGAAAUUAAAUUUGUACAGAACCCUUUCUACAAGUGGCCAUCAAAAGCUUCCUGAUCAAGCAUACAUUGUUUCAACGGAGCAACAGUUGGUAGCUGAACAGGUAAUUCCUAAUUUGGAACACUUGAGAAUAGACGAAAAGGAUGCUAGCAAGAUAUUUCAAUCCCAAAAUAUAGGUCCUUUCUUCAACAAAAUAUCAUCUCUUAGUCUGUGUAUGUAUGAGGACGAAGGUUCUACUUUUCCCAAUCAGGUUUUGCAGAAUAUAUGCAGUUUGAAAUCGCUAGGCGUUGAGUGGAGUUCCUUUAAGAAGAUAUUUCAAGAUAAAAGACUUGGAGAGAAAAAGAAUUGUGCAAAACUCCAACGGUUAACACUGCAUCAAUUACCAAAUCUUCAACAUAUAUGUGAAGAAGGACUGCAAAUUGACCCAGUUCUUGAGCUUCUUGAAUCGUUAUGUGUUGAUGGAUGUUCAAGUUUGAAAAACCUGGUUCCUUCCUCUGUUAGCUUUUGCUAUUUGACCUAUCUUGAGGUAGUAAAUUGUAAUAGUAUGAUAAACUUACUUUCACCUCCUACAGCAAGAAGUCUAACCCAGCUCAUAGUAAUGAAGGUAAUACAAUGUGAUUCACUUGAGGAAAUAAUAUCCAAAGAGGGUGAAGAGAUGACAAAUGACAUCAUAUUUUUCUGUUUGGAAACUUUGGUGUUGGAUUGUUUACCAGGACUCGGUAGGUUUUGCUCGCAAAAGUGCUUUCUAAGGUUCCCAUUGUUGCAUGAGGUACUAGUUAGAGAAUGUGCUCGCAUGAUGUACUUCUCUGAGGGGAACACGACAAGCACACCAAUGCUUCAAAAAGUACAAACAUCAGAGAAUAGUAAAGAAUUUUCUUGGAAAGGAAAUUUGAAUGGCACCAUAAAAAACAUGUUUGAAGAUAAGGUACGUAGUUUCAAGGAUUUAAAUCUAUCAAAAUAUCCUGAGCUAAAAGAGUUAUGGUAUGGUCAACUUCGGAGCAAUAUAUUCAACAAUUUGAAGAAGUUAGUGGUUCACAAUUGUGAGUUUUUAACCGAUGUGCUCUUUUAUCCAAAUUUAAUAGAUGCGCUUGUGAAUUUGGAAGAACUAGAUGUAAGAGACUGUAAUUCUUUAAUGGCUGUGUUUGAUAUUGUGAAAGAAACAUUUGCGGAAGAAAUUGUGGUAAAGAAAUGUUCUCUUUUGAAAAAGUUAAUUCUUUGCAGUCUUCCAAAUUUGAAGCAUAUUUGGAAGGAAGAUCCCAACACAACUUUGAGCUUUCAGAAUCUAUGUCAAGUCUCUGUUAUGGAUUGUCCAAGCUUAAAAAGUCUCUUUCCACUCUCUGUAGCUAUUGAUAUGGCCCAACUUGAAGGCCUUGUAGUAUCAAGAUGUGGGAUUGAGGAGAUAGUUGAUAAUAAAAGACAGACAAGGGAGAUGAUUAAAUUUGUGUUUCCUCAUUUAAGGACCUUGUGGCUACAAAAGUUGCUUAAACUGAGGACAUUCUUUUCUAGCAUCUAUUCUAUUCAAUGUAAAUCUUUGAUAGAUUUGUUUGUGGUCAACUGUCCAAAAUUGACGCUAUUUCAGACAACAUAUCUCAGUUGCCAAGAGCGAGCUUCGGAUGAUAAAAUUUCUAUCCCAAUGCAUCAACCUCUUUUCCCAGUUGAAGAGGUACUUCCAAACUUGUAUACUUUGGCAGUGAACAAUAAUGAUGUUGAGGUUAUAUUGCAAAGCAUGUAUUCACAACACCAAUACGACAAACUUGAACUUCUUAGGGUGAUCCAAUUUGAAACAGAAGGCACCACAUUCCCAUAUUGGUUUUUGGAAAAUACGCAGAAUUUGGAGACACUAAUUGUAGAAUGGAGUUCUUUUGUAGAAAUAUUUCAUGAUCAAAGCAUUGCUAGUGAGGAGGGACAAGUCACAAUUAGCACACGGCUAAGGAACCUUACUCUAAAUGAGCUACAUGACCUUGGUCAUAUAUGUAAAGAAGGAUUUGAAAUUGACCCUGUUCUCCAACAUCUUGAACAGAUAGAUGUUGCUCAGUGUUCUACUUUGGUAAACUUGGUGCCUUCCUCUGUUACCUUUACUUGCUUGACACAUUUGGAGGUAGUAAACUGCAAUGGAAUGAUCAAUUUGAUAACAUGCUCAACAGCAAAGAGUCUUGUCAAGCUCACAACAAUGAAAAUUGAAUCAUGCAAUUUACUACAAGAUAUAGUGAAUGCAAAUGAAAAUGAGGAAGACAAAGAAAUUGCAUUCUCCAGCUUAGAGACACUAGAACUUGUGUCUUUACCAAGGUUGCGUAGGUUUUGCUCAUGCAAAUGCUCCCUUCUAUUUCCGCUGUUGGAGAAUGUAUUUGUGGAAGGAUGCCAUCGAAUGGAAGUUUUCUCUAUAGGAGACACAAGCACACCAAAUCUUCAAAAAGUUCAAAUAGAAGAUUUGAAUGGAACAAUAAACAAAAUGUUUGAGGAUAAGGUAUCAUUUUGUAUAUCCAAACAUUUGACCCUGUCUGAUUAUCCAGAGUUGAGAGAUUUUUGGUAUGUCAAAGAAUAUCAUAAUUUAUUUAGCAAUUUAAAAUCUCUAGUGGUGCAAAAAUGUGACUUUUUAUCAACUGUUCUUUUUACGUCAAACACAUUACAAGUUCUUCAUGAAUUAGAAGAACUGGAAGUAAGGAAUUGUGAUUCAUUAGUAACACUGUUUGAUGUGAAAGAAAUGAAGUCUAAUGGAGCAAUGGUGAAACAAGCUAGCAAAUUGAAAAAAUUAAGCUUGUCUAGCUUACUGAAGUUAAGGCACAUAUGGAAUGCAGACCCUUGCGAAAUUGUGAGUUUUGAAAACUUGUGCACAGUGGAUGUUGUUGAGUGCAAAAGUCUCUUGUAUUUAUUUCCACUCUCAGUAUGCCUUGAUCUCCCAUAUAUUGAAAAGUUGAAUAUAGAGUCUUGUGGAGUUGAAGAAAUUGUUUCAGUGGAGAAAGAAUCAACUGAAAUCAACUUUACCUUUCCUCACUUGAGUUACUUGAAAUUUUUUCAACUGGAAAAACUCAAGAGUUUCUAUAUGGGAAGAUUUACUUUAGAGUGCCCUUCAUUAAAGACAUUAAAUGUAUAUCGCUGUGAGGCGCUACAAAUGUUUACUUUCAACCAUUCAGUUCUCCAACAGCCUCAUCAGAUAGAAGAAAUUCAUGAUGCGCUUAUUCCUCAAGCACUCUUUUCUAUUGAAAAGCUAAGCCGCAACUUAUUGGAAGAAUUGGCACUAAAUGGCAAGGAUGCAUUGAUGAUAAUCAAUGGCCACAUGGAAGAAGCUAAAUUUCCAAAAGUGAAGGUUCUUCGCAUGCAAUGCCUUUGUGACACACAACUUACUUGUUGGAAUGAUUUACCUGAAAUAUUUCCCAAUGUAGUGGGUCUUCAAGUAAGACAAAGUUCUAUGCAAACAUUGUUUCCCGUUGAAGGAACUGCUCAUUGCAGUACAAGAAUUGCUCAGCAAGUGACGUCAUUGGUGCUUUUUGAAAUGGAACAUCUCAAACAUAUUUGGCACGAAGAAUCUCUAUCUGAUCAACCUGUCCCUCAAAAUCUUGAGAUUUUAACUGUUCACACUUGUCCUAAUAUGGUAAGCGUGGUGUCAUCUUCAGUGUUAUUCCAAAGUUUGAAAGAGUUGCAUGUUGAAAACUGCAAAGGGAUGACUCAUUUGAUAACAUCCUUGCUUGCUAAAAGGCUAAUGCAACUAGAAAUGCUGACAAUAAAAAAUUGUGAGAUGAUAAAGGAUGUUGUGAAUGUUGAUGAUGAAGAAGAAGAAGCAGAGGAAGAUAUCAUAUUUGAGAACUUGCAAUACUUAGAACUCUUUGCUCUGAUUAGUUUGAGAAGUUUUUGCUAUGGGAAACAUACACUCGUAUUCCCAUCUUUGACUCAGUUCAUUGUCAAAGGAUGCCCUCAAAUGGGGAUUUUCUCACCAGGAUCCAUUGUAGCACCAAUUUUGAGGGGAGUUGAAGUGGAAAAUAAAAGAAAACGAUGGAAAGGUGAUCUUAAUACUACUAUUGAACAAUUAUUCAAAGAUAAUCAGGAAGUCUCACAAUUUAAUGAGGAUUAAGGUCAUUCGAAAAGUCAGCCUACUCUAUUUGCACGCGAUAUGCAUGGGUACCCUCGAUAUCCAAUCAGCAAUUCAGCAUCAAUCUAUCUAUGUGUCACUCCUUGCAUUGGCUUGAUGUUUCCAUGAAGACCACCAAACAAUAAAGCGACAUGUUACUCUAGUGAAAAGGCUUCUGUCUCAGUCUCACAGAUACUCAUUAUCAGAGUUUUCUCCUACACUAGCAUCUUCUUUGAAUAAUUAAAAAAGUGCAAAAAUUAUCGAGUAAUUGUAAUCAAUUGAAGAUUUUACAACUAUUAGAAAACCCAAACCAUAGCUAUAUGUAUGUUAAAAUCGUAUGCA
Arachis ipaensis is the source of this 8361-nucleotide non-coding RNA. NCBI's taxonomy places the organism in Eukaryota, Viridiplantae, Streptophyta, Magnoliopsida, Fabales, Fabaceae. The record is from RefSeq and is a predicted model, not a curated record.